AAAUGUAGAGUGCAUGAGGUAGAAAUACUUCUUUUCUUCGGAACUCUCUGCAAGGUGCUGCAUGGUUGUCGUCAGCUCGUGCCGUGAGGUGUCGGGUUAAGUCCCAUAACGAGCGCAACCCUUAUCGUUAGUUGCCAGCGGGUAAUGCCGGGGACUCUAGCGAAACUGCCGGUGUAAACCGAGAGGAAGGUGGGAUGACGUCAAAUCAGCACGGCCCUUAUGUCCAGGGCUACACACGUGUUACAAUGGCGGUACAGAGGGCAGCUACCUGGAGACAGGAUGCGAAUCUCGAAAGACCGGUCUCAGUUCGGAUCGAAGUCUGCAACUCGACUUCGUGAAGCUGGAUUCGCUAGUAAUCGCGCAUCAGCCAUGGCGCGGUCGAAUACGUUCCCGGGCCUU
This 399-nucleotide ribosomal RNA is filed under the name uncultured Sphingobacteriales bacterium. Its description in RNAcentral is "bacterial SSU rRNA". It matches the Rfam family "Bacterial small subunit ribosomal RNA", at positions 983 to 1382 of the family's 1533-position model. Lineage: Bacteria; Pseudomonadati; Bacteroidota; Sphingobacteriia; Sphingobacteriales. The record is from RNAcentral.